GGUAAGUGCAGAACUAAUCUGCUUCAAAAUGAGAAAGAAAGUCAAUGUUGCCAAGAGCUCGACGAAUGCAUAGAGUCCUUAAAGAAUGAAAUGGUGCUGGAUGAAUUGAAAAUUGUCCCAAAAUGCAUUACACUUCAUCCAGCAUUCAAUUCAGUGUGUCUGGAUAUUUGGUCAUUAAGAAUGUCAGGCCCAAAAUUCAGAAAAAUAGAUGGAAGAAAAUAUGUGAAGCAUGAUGAUGAGAACAGAUAUUUGAGAAGUGUUGCAUAUCGAGAAUUUACCCAGCUGGUGCAUGGCUACUUAGGGAAUAAACGGAUACCACUACCUGCUUGUGCCUAUCAUGCAAUAAGGACUCGAUUUGUGGGAAAAGAUUUUCAGGGUUAUGAUGAUGAAGAAUUUGAGGAUAAAUAAUUUACUACUUAUAUGCCAAUGAUUCACCCUCAUUUUGAUUCUUGUUUUGUGGACAGUCCAGGACCUGUUGGUGACCUUUCAUUGGUUUCCCACAAGUUCGACAGUGUGGACGAGUUCUUGUUAUAUUAAUGGUAUUUUCUGACAUUGUUAAUGGGACUAAAAUAUUAUAAUUUUGAGAUUGUAAUAUUAGACAUCAUAACUGUAAGUAAUUAAUAAAGUAUGUUUUAGUCA
This is a long non-coding RNA of Xenia sp. Carnegie-2017, 639 nucleotides long. RefSeq lists it as uncharacterized. The record is from RefSeq and is a predicted model, not a curated record. NCBI's taxonomy places the organism in Eukaryota, Metazoa, Cnidaria, Anthozoa, Malacalcyonacea, Xeniidae. The transcript has 2 exons.